This 395-nucleotide ribosomal RNA is filed under the name uncultured bacterium. Its description in RNAcentral is "bacterial SSU rRNA". It matches the Rfam family "Bacterial small subunit ribosomal RNA", at positions 29 to 431 of the family's 1533-position model. The record is from RNAcentral.
AGCGAACGUUUGCGGCGGGCCUAACACAUGCAAGUCGAACGCACUAGCAAUAGUGAGUGGCGCACGGGUGCGUAACACGUGGGUAAUCAACCCUUCAGCUUGGGAUAACGACUUGAAAGGGUCGCUAAUACCGGAUACGGCGCGGGAGGCUUCGGCUUCUCACGAGAAAGCCUCGCAAGGGGCACUGAAGGACGAGCCUGCGGCCCAUCAGCUAGUUGGUGAGGUAAGAGCUCACCAAGGCGAAGACGGGUAGCUGGUCUGAGAGGAUGAUCAGCCACACUGGAACUGAGACACGGUCCAGACUCCUACGGGAGGCAGCAGUGGGGAAUAUUGCGCAAUGGGCGAAAGCCUGACGCAGCCACGCCGCGUGAGCGAUGAAGGCCUGGUCGUAAGAC